GAUAAGCUGAUUGUUGAGAUGCC
RNAcentral lists this non-coding RNA (23 nucleotides) under Arabidopsis thaliana (thale cress). The record is from RNAcentral. Lineage: Eukaryota; Viridiplantae; Streptophyta; Magnoliopsida; Brassicales; Brassicaceae.